This 253-nucleotide ribosomal RNA is filed under the name uncultured bacterium. RNAcentral describes it as "partial 16S ribosomal RNA". It matches the Rfam family "Bacterial small subunit ribosomal RNA", at positions 524 to 776 of the family's 1533-position model. The record is from RNAcentral.
UACGAAGGGUGCAAGCGUUAUUCGGAUUAAUUGGGCGUAAAGGGUGCGUAGACGGCAUGUUAAGUCCGCUGUUAAAUUUCCCAGCUCAACUGGGAGCAGGCGGUGGAUACUGGCGUGCUAGAGGAUGGAAGAGAGAAGUGGAAUUCCCGGAGUAGCGGUAAAAUGCGUAGAUCUCGGGAGGAACACCAAUGGCGAAGGCAGCUUCUUGGUCCAUAUCUGACGUUGAGGCACGAAAGCGUGGGGAGCAAACGGG